This 130-nucleotide small nucleolar RNA is filed under the name Myotis davidii. RNAcentral describes it as "Small nucleolar RNA SNORA57". It matches the Rfam family "Small nucleolar RNA SNORA57", at positions 1 to 130 of the family's 149-position model. Rfam says of the family: U99 belongs to the H/ACA class of snoRNAs which are thought to guide the sites of modification of uridines to pseudouridines, the target for this family is unknown. The record is from Rfam by way of RNAcentral. Lineage: Eukaryota; Metazoa; Chordata; Mammalia; Chiroptera; Vespertilionidae.
CCUCCUCUUCUCGGCGGGGUUCGGGUGUGCGGUCCCAGUCCCUGUAAUGUACAGAGGCAGAGGGAGAGGGCUCCAGCCCCCUGGGUGUCAUGUCUUCUGUGCUGACGGUUGCCAGUCCGCCAAAAAAAAA